AGACUUCGGUCUGCUACUCUUACCCAUGUCUUUUGAGUACUUCGUUUCCUCGGCGGGUCCGCCCGCCGGUUGGACAACAUUCAAACCCUUUGCAGUUGCCAUCAGCGUCUGAAAAAACUUAAUAGUUACAACUUUCAACAACGGAUCUCUUGGUUCUGGCAUCGAUGAAAACGCACGAAAUGCGAUAAGUAUGUGAAUUUGCAGAAUUCAGUUGAAUCAUCGAAUCUUUGAACGCACAUUGCUGCCCCUUGGUAUUCCAUGGGGCAUGCCUGUAUCGAGCGUCAUUUUGUACCUUCAAGCUCUGCUUGGUGUUAGGGUGUUUUGUCUCGCCUACCGGCGCCAGACUCGCCUUAAAACAAUUGGCAGCACGGCGUAUUAGAUAUUCGGANCCGCAGUACAUUCUCGCGCUUUGCACCUCCAUAAACGAACGGACGUCCAAAAGUACAUUUUUACACUCUUGACCUCGGAUCAGGUAAUGGAUAACCCGCUGAACUUUAAGCAUAUUCAAUAAG
Molecule: ribosomal RNA, 512 nt
Filed under: Epicoccum nigrum
Lineage: Eukaryota; Fungi; Ascomycota; Dothideomycetes; Pleosporales; Didymellaceae
Description: eukaryotic LSU rRNA
Rfam family: 5.8S ribosomal RNA (bases 130-284)
Source: RNAcentral